GAUGAACGCUGGCUACAGGCUUAACACAUGCAAGUCGAGGGGAAACGACGGGGAAGCUUGCUUCCCCGGGCGUCGACCGGCGCACGGGUGAGUAACGCGUAUCCAACCUGCCUCUGACUGAGGGAUAACCCGUCGAAAGUCGGCCUAAUACCUCAUGGCAUCGUCUGCGGGCAUCCAACGACGAUUAAAGAUUUCAUCGGUCAGAGAUGGGGAUGCGUCUGAUUAGCUUGUUGGCGGGGUAACGGCCCACCAAGGCGACGAUCAGUAGGGGUUCUGAGGGGAAGGUCCCCCACAUUGGAACUGAGACACGGUCCAAACUCCUACGGGAGGCAGCAGUGAGGAAUAUUGGUCAAUGGGCGAGAGCCUGAACCAGCCAAGUAGCGUGCAGGAUGACGGCCCUAUGGGUUGUAAACUGCUUUUAAGCGGGGAUAAAGUGAGGGACGUGUCCUUCAUUGCAGGUACCGCAUGAAUAAGGACCGGCUAAUUCCGUG
This 491-nucleotide ribosomal RNA is filed under the name uncultured bacterium. RNAcentral describes it as "partial 16S ribosomal RNA". It matches the Rfam family "Bacterial small subunit ribosomal RNA", at positions 28 to 507 of the family's 1533-position model. The record is from RNAcentral.